RNAcentral lists this long non-coding RNA (16702 nucleotides) under Theobroma cacao (cacao). RNAcentral describes it as "long non-coding RNA (TCAC_LNC000630)". The record is from RNAcentral. Lineage: Eukaryota; Viridiplantae; Streptophyta; Magnoliopsida; Malvales; Malvaceae.
CACACUUGUGAAACAAUAUGAGAGGUUUGAACUUUCAGAAAAAGACUCAGAACCAGAAUCAAAUGCUGUUAUACUGCCUUUUUACCCUCUUUUUUUCUAUUUGAGGUUUUAUUUUACACCAAGUGCCAAUCAGAAUAAAAAUGCUUUGCCCGAUCUGCAAAAGAAGCAUACAACAAUUUCUAAUUUGCAACAUGUUCUGCAUACCUGGAAUGCUGUAAACUUAAAAGGGCUUUCUGAUUGGAACAUCCCAUCCUCAUCAAGCCAUCUCUCUGGUUUGAACUCCUCUGCAUCAUCACCCCAAAUGAAUUGCAUUCUGCCCAUUGCAUAAGGUUGAUAACAAACCAUAUCCCCUUUCCUCACACUGAACCCAUCUGGUAGAGUAUCAUCAGAGAAGCAUACCUUUGCAUCCUGCAAUCAAUGUGAAGAGAUAGUGAGAACCAAAGAACAAGGAAGCUAAUUUCUAACCUUCCAGAUACGCAUUAAAUGGAUAUCAGUUUAUAGAUGCAUGUUCUUGGAUGUACAUUAACAAGUUCAGUUGGAGGAUUCAAGAUUCAAGGCAACUUUGCUUACAACUGGAACAGCGGGGUAGAGCCUUAAUGUUUCAGUUAUGGCUGCAUGGAGAUAGUGCAUUUUUCCUAAAGCUUCUUCGCUCAAGAUAGCAGCAAAUUCAGCAUAAUCUUUAACAUCUUUCGUGUCAGUUGCUUCCUUCACUUCUUGUGCAACCUUUUCUUGAACAUCAGGAUGCUUGCAGAGCAUGUAAAUAAACCACGACAGAGUAGCUGCCGUUGUGUCUUUCCCAGCAAUUAUGAAGUUAAGGAUUAUAUCUCGCAAGUAUGUUGGAUCAGUGUCACUCACUUGUAGAAAUCUGGAUAAAAUGUCUUCCUUUUUCAUCUGCAUAAUCUGUAGAAAAUAAUAAUUUCAAUAUUCCACUUCAACAGGUAAUAUAAGUUGUUAACUAUAAGUAGCUCUACUGUUCUAGUUCACUCACUGAAGAUUCAUCCUUUGAGUUGCGCAUUUGCUCAAUCUUGUUGUGGAUCAGCUUAUACACAAAAUUAUCAACCACUUCUAUACUUUUCUUCAGUGUGGCCUCUGAUCCAAUAUUUAGAAAUCUUUUGAUCUUCCAGAAGAUAUCAACAUAUCGGAAGAGGAUUGCUGCACUUGAAUCAUCAAAAGCAGCUGUAAACUGUUUGCCUUCUAAAUUUGAUCCACACAUGCUGUCUAGUUCGACUCCAAAUGCAACUUUGAAUAUUGAAUCUAAAGUCGAUUUCAUAAACAAGUCCUGCACAAUAUAUCGUUAUAACAGAUUCAUUUUAUAUAUCACUCUGCCAUUGAUCUUGCCAUUAGGUGAACUUACCUGUAUAUCCAUUAUCUCAUUGGAAUUUGCUGCUUCAGACACUAUAGUCGCAAGUUUUGCCGCAUUUUCCCGAAAGACUACACUGCUGAAAUCUCUCAAGACCUUGGUUGAGAAUUCAUAGCUUGAUACUUUCCUCUGUUGACGCCACUUAUCACCAUCGACAGUGAAAAUCCCAUCGCCUAGUAAACCCUUUAGCAAGCUGUAAUUGUACUCACCCUGCACAAAAAAUUAAACAGAUUGGAAAACCAAAACAACUCCACCAUUCUGCCUUUUGGGUGGCCAUAUAAUUAUCAAAAGCCCUUUCAUUCCAACUAAUCACUCUGCGGCACAUUAGCAUCUUCAAUUGACUUACUUGUGGCGAGAUUGAGACCCUUUUCUUAAUCUAAUUAUGGGUGUUUCUGUCUAGGCUACUUAUACUAACCAAUCACCGGGAGAGUUCAGAAUUUUCUAGACCAACAAAUUAUUUGUGACUUUGAGGUGUGAAACGAGAGUCGGCACCAUACCUUGCCAUAAUUCUGGAAAUUUGUUUUGAGAAUAUACUCAACAUUGUCGGGUUCCGAGGUAUAAAUCUCAUUCCUGAAAGGGCUAAGCAGCCUGUAGGUCCUGUACUUCCCUGCAAGAUCAGUCAUAUAGUGAUGCAAUCUUCUGAAGUUGAGGAGCUGGUUAAAAACCGUUCCGCCAACAGGAUGGUACUUGGCCUUAUUUUUCCUCUGCCUUUCUCUUAGUUUUGCUGUGAGGAACUUGACAGUGAAAAGGGCAAGGAUUAGACUUAGAACCAAAGCUACCAAGGGAACUGGGUUAGACAGAUCCAUGGACAUGGAGGUACGUUUGGGUAAGCUGGUCUAUCAAUGUUAGGUGAAGGCUGUAUUAAACUAGAGAAGUCGGUUUUGUAAUACUAAUAAUAUCAACGGAGAGAAGUCCUUCUGCUAAGUCAUUCCUCUCAACCAAACGUGUCAUAACCUAAUUGGACGACAUUCGGACAAGCCCUAAACGUGGUUCUCUCGAAUUUCACAAGGUGAUCUUUUUGAAAAUUGGUAAAAAAUUACUAAUAAACUUCACCACAGCCAAGUAACAAAACAAAGGGCCAUACUUGUUAUUUCCUUAGUUAUGAUGAUAAAGAACAUACAAAUCUCUUCUAAUUGGUUAUUCUAUAGUUAAGUAAAGAGAAUGAUUUUUGAAUUUAAUUCUUAAAUAAGAAAAUACGUGUAUUUAUCAUGUUAAAUUUAAUACUCAAAUGAAAAAUUAAUUAGAAUUUUAUUUCGGAGCAUAUGAUACAAUCAAGUAACUUAAGUACAAAGAUGAUUAAGCUUGGCAAACAAGGAUAUGUCAUGUUUCUCAAUCCGAGAGAUAAGAAGCACAGAGCCAAAGGCCCUGCAAAAAGGCAGGGGAGAACUGAAUUGUUGUUUCCUAAAACUUUGCAUUAAGAUCAACAUGACUUUCUAGUCAUUAAAUAUUCUGCUAGAUUUCGAACUUGCAAAUAUGGUCUGUUUUAAUGAAAUUGCAGAAUGUUGUCUCACGUCUCAAGAACUUUGAUUUCACUUCUUUUUCAAGGAAAAAAAAAUGGUUUCACUUAGUUUGCAGAAGUGUCCUGAACUCAAUUUUCAGACAAAAGUAUGGUUCAAGACUCCUUGGUGAGUGAAAGUAAUUCUUCAUCAUAUUUAUUCCUUUAUUUUUCUUUUUGGAUAUCAUUGUAUUUAUUCUUGUGCAAGGACAAGUACAUGCAUACUCAAACCUUGCAAUUGCCCAGCAUACAGAACUGAGCCAACAGAUGAAACCCGUGGUCAAAUAGGCAAGAAAGACUAAGUCUGACAUCUGGGAAAUGCGCGGACAUGAAGGCCCCCAUCUACAUGAAGAGUGAUCAUCGUCCUGUAGGUGACAGAUUUAUUCUCAUCACUCAGUUUGAACACAAAGUAGUGCACAAGAACAGCCGAGAAGAUCUUCAUCUGCCUAUAAGCAAAUUCCUUGCCUAAACAAAUUCGAGGCCCUGCCUGUAAACCAUUAGAAAAUAAAGUUCAGUAUGUUCACAUCUUUAGCCGGUGAAAUCACACUUGUGAAACAAUAUGAGAAGUUUGAACUUUCGGAAAAAGACCCAGAACCAGAAAUCAAAUGCCGUUAUACUGAUUUUUUACCCUUUUUUCCUAUUUGAGGUUUUAUUUUACACCAAGUGCCAAUCAGAAUAAUAAUGCUUUGGCCGAUCUGGAAACGAAGCGUACAAGAAUUUCUAAUUUGUAGUAUGUUCUGCACACCUGGAAUGCUGUAAACUUAAAAGGGCUUUCUGGUUGGAACAUCCCAUCCUCAUCAAGCCAUCUCUCUGGUCUGAACUCCUCUGCAUCAUCACCCCAUAUGAAUUUCAUUCUGCCCAUUGCAUAAGGUUGAUAACAAACCAUAUCUCCUUUCCUCACACUGAACCCAUCUGGAAGAGUAUCAUCAGAAAAGCAUAUCUUUGGAUCCUGCAAUCAAAGUGAAGAGGUAGUGAGAACCAAAGAAAACCCCAGAACAUAGAAAGGAAGCUAAUUUCUAGCCUUCCCGAUACGCCUUGAAUGGAUAUCAGUUUAUAGAUGCAUGUUCUUUGAUGUGCAUUAACAAGUUCAGUUGGAGGAUUCAAGAUUCAAGGCAACUUUGCUUACAACUGGAACAGCGGGGUAGAGCCUUAAUGUUUCAGUUAAGGCUGCAUGGAGAUAGUGCAUUUUUCCUAGAGCUUCUUCGCUCAAGAUAGCAGCAAAUUCAGCAAAAUCUUUAACCUCCAUCGUGUCAGUUGCUUCCUUCACUUCUUGUGCAACCUUUUCUUGAACAUCAGGAUGCUUGCAGAGCAUGUAAAUAAACCACGACAGAGUAGCUGCUGUUGUGUCUUUCCCAGCAAUUAUGAAGUUAAGGAUUAUAUCUCGCACGUAUGUUGGGUCAGUGUCAUUCAAUUGCAGAAAUCUGGAUAAAAUGUCUUCCUUUUUCAUCUGCACAAUCCGUAGAAUACAAUUAUUUCAAAAUUCUACAUAGAAACCGUUAAUUAUAAGUAGCUCUAUUCUUCUAGUUCACUCACAGAAGAAUCGUUCGAGUUACGCAUCUGCUCAAUCUUGUUGUGGAUCAGCUUAUACACAAAAUUAUCAACCACUUUUGUACUUUUCUUUAGUUUUGCUUCUGAUCCAAUAUUUAAAAAUCUCUUGAUCUUCCAGAAGAUAUCAACAUAUCGGAAGAGGAUUGCUGCGCUUGAAUCAUCAAAAGCAGCUGUAAACUCUUUGCCUUCUAAAUUUGAUCCACACACGCUGUCUAGUUCAACUCCAAAUCCAACUUUGAAUAUCGAAUCUAAAGUCGAUUUCAUAAACAAGUCCUGCACAACAUUUCGCUAUAACAGGUUCAUAUUAUAUAUCACUCCGUCAUGGAUCUUGCCAUUAGGUGAACUUACCUGAAUAUCCAUUAUCUUGUUGGACUUCGCUGCGUCAGACACUAUAUUUGCAAGCUUUGCUGCAUUUUUCCGAAAGACUACAGUGCUGAAAUCCCUCAACACCUUCGUUGAGAAUUCAUAGCUUGACACUUUCCUCUGUUGACGCCACUUAUCACCAUCGACUGCGAAAAUCCCAUCACCUAGUAAACCCUUUAGCAAGCUGUAAUUGUACUCACCCUGCACAGAAAAUUAGACAAAUUGAAAAACCAAAACGACCCCACCAUUCUGCCGUAGCCAUAUAAUUAUCAAAAACUCUUUCGUUAUAGCAAAUAACCCUGCAGCACAUUAGCAUUUGUAGUUGACUUAAUUGUGACUAUAGAUUGAGACACUCUUUCAUAUUCUAAUUCUGGGUGUUACUGUCUAAGCUACUUCUUCCAACCAAUGACAGGGGGAGUUCAAAAUUUUCUAGACCAACAAAUUACCUUGCCAUAAUUCUGGAAAUUUGUUUUGAGAAUAUAUUCAACGUUGUCUGGUUCCGAGGUAUAAACCUCACUCCUGAAAGGGCUAAGCAGCCUGUAGUUCCUGUACUUCCCAGCAAGAUCAGUCAUAUAGUGAUGCACUCUUUUGAAGUUGAGGAGCUGGUUAAAAAGUGUUCCGCCAACAGGAUGGUACUUGGUCUUGUUUUUUUUCUGCUUUUCUCUUAGUUUUGCUGCGAGGAACUUGACAGUGAAAAGGAUCAGGAUUAGAUUUAGAAACAAAGCGACCAAUGUAGCUGGGUUAGACAGAUCCAUGGAGAUGGAGGUCCUUUUUGGGUAAGCUGGUCGAUCAAUGUUAGCGGGUGAAGACUGAAGAAAACUAGAGGUCUUUUUAUAAUACUAAUAAUAUCAACGGGGAGAAAUCCUUUUGCUAAGUCAUUUCUCUUAACCAGACGUGUGACUAUAUUCGGACAAUCCGCAAACGUGUUUCUCUUAAAUUUUACGUGCACAUUGCUGAGAGUCCAACCAUGAGAGAGAUAUGCACCGACUUUCCUUCGUUGUCUCCUUUUUCGUUUUUAAAUUGUUAUAAGUUAUUAACUAAUUUCACCACAACCAAUUAACAAAACAAAGGGCAGGACUAGGUUUUUUUUUACUCAGUCAAUAUAACUAUUUAGAGAAAAUUGUGAAAAAUAACUCAUAAGGUGAUUUCAAAAAUAAUUAUCCAUAUAAUGUUAUCUGUUUUUACCAAAAAACAAACAUGAGUAAACCAAAAUGCUCUCAGAAACAUCCUGGCAAAUCAAUCUCCUAAUAUCUCUCUCGCUGUAAAGAAAAUAAAUACUCAGUUAUUUCAGCUCGCUCAACUCUUUCAGCUCUCUAAAUUAUAUCAGCUUUGUCAACUCUCUGUUAAGUACCAUCGUCAUCAACUCUCUUAGCUAUUUGAACUGUAUCAUCUAUAUGUACUUAUUAAAGAUAUAAAUUAAAGAAUAUAAAAGAAAACGAAGUAAAUGAAUAAUUGAAAAGACAAGUCGAGCCACUAAUUACUACAAUGAUCACUGUCUGAUCACGACAGCUAAAGCCACUGCAAUUGCUCGGCCAAUAAAGUUGACAAACUUUGUUGAAAUAGGACUUGCAUUGAAAAUCACGUCAGUUCAUACUAUCUUAGGAUCAUAUGUGACCAUUUUGUAUAAGCUAGCUUUCUUUCAAAUUAUGAUAACUAUGCAUUUAAUGAAUGAUUUAUAUGAUGAUUAGUAUGCAUUCUUAGGCCUAGCUACUGUUCAAAACUUAGUUGUUAAGUUUUGUUAUGUAUAUAAACUAAGUCAAUGCAUAUCAGAAAUAUGAAACCUACUGUUACAACAAAAACUGUCUUUACUUGCUCUGUUUCAUACUUAUCCUACAUCAACUAAAACACAACAAAACUUACUAAAUAAAGCAAUCUAUAUACCAACAAUGUCUUGGAAUUUAGCAAGUUUUAGUUUGUCCUCUUGGAAUGACAUAGAGGUCGAGGCCAUGCUGGAGGGUGAAGCCACAACAUGGUCCUAUCGUCUGCCAAGUUGAAGCGAAAGUAGUGAAUAAGGGAACUUUGUUGAGAUUUUCUUUAUCUGCUCAGAAGAAAUUAAGAAAAAAUUAUAUGGUGUAGAUACUUGAUUUUGAUUUUGAUUGUUAACAUAUUUCUUCAAUAUAAAGUAAAAUUAAUUUAUAAAACGUUGUAUUACUAUGUAAGAAGUAGUGUAGAUAAUUUAUAAUAAGUAGAAAAAUCACGUCAUUGUAUAAACUAGUGAAAAUAUCUUCGAAAUAAAUGAUGAGAUUUUUAAAUUAAUUUUUUUAAAAUGUUUUGAAGAGUUUGAUUUGAUAACUUAAAUACAUAAAUGAAAAUUUUCUAAAUACGUAUGCAUAAAAUCCACUAUCACCAUCAAUGACCUAAACAUUCAUAAGGCUUUAAUGCCUCAACAGUUGACAUUUUCUCAUUGGUAUGAAUAAAUUUCAUUAAUUACAAGAUUACUCAAUUCCAUAACCCUUCAAGAUAUUUUCUCAUUGAUUGUGUUCGAUUUGAUAAGGAUGUUAAUUUUUUUUUUUGAAUUACAAAUAUUUUUCAUUUUUUUAAAUAAUUAAGUGACGCACUUCUAAUGCCUCAGUAGCUGACAUUAAUUAUCCAUUGGUUGCAUUCACUUUGAUUCGGAGCUAAUUAACAACCGAAAAGUUGGCCGAUGUUUGCCGACUUGGAUUUAAUGGUCAUAUGAGUUGGUGUAACAAUGUGAUACCAAAAAGGUAGUAAUCAAUACAAAUUUUGAGUAGGAAGAGUACUGCAUUCAAAUGAAAUCAAGAAGAAGAUUGUGGAGAAAACUCUCAUUUAAUGGAAGAACAUGACUGCCAAAUACGAGUACCUAAACAUGGUUUGGCAAUUGCCAUCAUCCUAUGCAUCCCUAGGUUACUUAACUGAUUGAUGUAAUUCAUUGAAUAAAAUGGUUAGUUGUUAUUAUCAUGUCAUGUCAUCGUCAUGAUAUUUCUUCCUCUUUUGUGAGUAAUGAGAUUUUUGAAGGAUGGAGAUGACUCUACCUAAAUUCUUAGAUUUUUUUGUUGCUUAUUUUCAUUGUAUUUUGAGUUUUUGACUGUGUCUAACUGUUUAUCUUUUGCAAAGCCAUUUUUUCACCUUAAUUUCAACCCAGCAUCUGUGUGUUGUCCGAUGGGUUAGAAAAUGGGCAAGUUUGAUUGGUGGUUGAUUCCUUUUCUUCAGCAUUUUGGUAACUUGGGCCUAUAAAAUUUAUUUAUAGUAGACAAAAAAAAACUUUUAUUAAAAAAUAUUAUAGUAAAUAUUUGUUUCUUUUCGGAUAAUUGACUUUUAUUUAGCUAAGGAAUAUUUUAUUUGAAAUAUGUCCCAUAUAUACCACUGAAAAUCCAAGGCUUUUUAUGGUUAUUCAUUCUUAAUGGCAUUUCUACUAAAUGCUUUCUAAGAAUCAGAACGCAUGGUGUAUGUCCUACAAUACAAAUGGUGAUAACCUUUGUUUUUGGUGUUACAGCCAUGGAGGAAAAGAGUGAUGAUAUUUUAUUUUCUUGUCACUUCAUACGGUCCAUGGAGGAAAUGUGGAUAGAUCGAAGAUAAGUAAAUCAAGAUUCACAGACUGUGAAAGCGUAUUAAAAGAUGAGAACUUUUUGACUUGGAUUUUUUUUAAUAAAAGUUCUUUGCUUGGAUUUUUUUUUAGUAAAAAUUCUUUGCUUGGAUUUAAGAGAUGAGAUUCAAAGAACUUUUAAGAGAUGCAGCAAACAACCUCAAAAUCCAAGCUCUUUGCUUGUAAGCUUCCUAGCCACUUGUAAACAGAAAAUACGGCUUCUAUGGAGUCCCAAUCUCGGGAAAUGGUCAGGGCAUAUAGACCAGAUGACUCGAAUUGUACAUAUAUUUUUUUCUUUUUUGGUGAAAUAACUCAAAUUCCAUUGAUCAACACAUUUACAGAAAAAAGCAAAUCAACACUAUAGAAAAAUGCAAAUCGGGGCUCUUAUGUACAACCAGCAAGGUUGAAGACUUGAAGUUGAACAAAUUGAUGACUUUGCACAGGAGGAUAUUUGGAAAUUCAUCAACUUGUCCUUGGAACAGCAUAAAGAUGGAGGCCCCCCUUCAUAUGAAGUGUGAACAUUGUCCUGUAAGUUGCAAUUUUCGUAUAAUCAACUAAUUUAAAGCGGAAGAAGCGAAGAAGGGCAAUUGAGACUAUCUUCAUCUACCGGUGAGCAAAAUCCUUGCCUAAGCAAGUUCGAGGACCCGCCUGAAACAUAAUGCAGCAGCUGGAAAAGAUUAAGAUCGUUUGACAACUAUAUAGGCACAUGCAUGUUAUACACAUGGUAGAAAUGGAACAAAGAAUACUAACAUGAAAUGCUAUGAAUUUGAAAGGGGAUUCGGACUGGAAAACUCCAUUGUUAAGCCAUCUUUCUGGUCGAAAAGUGUCGGCAUCUUCUCCCCAAAUGUCAGGCAUUCUACGCAUGGCGUAGGCCAUGUAAUACACCCCGUCUCCUUUCUUGAGUUUGUAGCCAUCGGGGAGAAUGUCAUCCUGCUCUGCAUUCCUUCCAUCCUUGAAGCACAAAGUGAGAACCAUAUCAUAUUCCAGCUGUCGAAAUGCUAAGACUGCAAGAAAAUCUAUGAGUGUCUCAGGCACCUUACAAUGGCGACAGCAGGGUACAGCCUUAAGGUCUCUGUUAUGGCUGCAUGAAGAUAGUGCAUUUGCUCUAGGGUUGAAUCAGUUAUGGUUGUCACGAAAUCAUCAACAUUAUUAGCACCAUUUCUUUUACUACUAGUGACGUCCACCACUUCUUGUGCAAGUUUUUCUUGUAUCAAAGGGUUCUUGCAGAGCAUGUAGAAGAACCAGGACAGAGUAUUCGCAGAAGAAUCUUUGCCAGCGAGUACGAAGUUCAGGAUUAUAUCCCUUAAAUAUUUGUCAUUCAUUGUGUCUGGAUUCUUCUCGCUUUCCACUAAAAAUCUUGAAAGUAUGUCUUCUUUCACAUUCUUGAAGCCAUAAAAAGAAAUAAGAAAAAACAAACCAAUUAUUAGUAAAGUAUAAAUUUCCACGCCAAAAACCAGAUUACCUUAAGCAGUGAGAUUGAAUUCAACAGUGUUCUUGUGACUCUCAAGUCCCACCAUAUUUGUUAGACCAAGAUUGACUAUAAGAAAUUCUUGCAGCAAAAUAUAUAUGGCUCACCAAAUCUCGUUCCAUGCCCAGCAGUUUCCUCUUGGAGCUAAUGACAUCGUGAACAAAGUAUCAACGACUUUGAUAUUCUUUCUGAGGGCAGCUUCAGAGCCAAUGUUAAGAGACCGUUUCAGCUUCCAGAAAGGGUCAACAAAGCGCCUCUCAUUUGAAUCAUCAAAAGCCUUCAUAAAAGUAGUCCCUUCCUUACUUGACCCAUCCAUGCAGUUUAAAUCUAUGCCAAACCCAACUUUGAAUAUGGAAUCUAGAGUGCAUGUCAUUAAUAGAUUCUACAAAUUAAAGUAAACACAGCAUGAAAAACUGAAAAAGGGAAAAUUAGACAAGCAUAAUUGUGAGCAUCUUUAAAGUUUUGGGUUAAUUUGAGGGUCAGAUUUCUCACUUGCAUGUCAAAAGCUUGACCCGACACUUCCAGCUUCGAAAUAACUCCAACCAGUUUGGCAGCGUUCCUUCUGAAAACAGAGCAGCUAAAAUAUUUAAGAACUCUCGUCGAGAACUCGAAGCUUGCCAGCUUCCGCUGCUUCCGCCACUUGUCUCCGUCCACCGCAAAGAUCCCUUGUCCAAAAAGAUCUAUCAGAAUUUCUUGGUUUUGUUUACCCUUACAGUAUCUGUCGAACUUUGUUUUCAAUAUGUACUCUACAUUUCGCGUAUCGACGGUGUAUACUACGCUUAGCCCUAAAGCGAGUUGCCUGUAAGUGGGCUGUUUUUUGGCCGCUUGGGUUUGGUAGUCGUAGAGAUAGUUGAAAUAAAACAACUGGUUGAAAACGCUGCCCUUCACCGGUGGGUUGUCAGGAUUUCCGAUGGAUUUUCCGGUGAAGAUUUUGAUUGUGAGAAAAGAGAAGAUCAGGAAGAGAAUGAGUGGUGGUAAUGACAUCAACAAGAAGAUGGUAGAGAGAAUAUCCAUUUUUCCUUUUUCUAAUGAAUACUCGGAAAGGUUAUAGGCCAUAUAUGCAGAUUCUUGCAUUGGGUUGCAUUCAUUUUUCAACCUACCAACAAAAUCAAACCGUUUUCAUCACCAAUAUCUUUCUCAACAACAAAAUCAUUUGUUUAAUAAUUAUAAUGUUUACACGUGUACGAUUGCCAUUUCAUCAAUUUGAUUUUUCUUGUAAAUUAAGUUGAUGCCACCAUAUCUCAUACUUCAAAAAUUUUAGAGGAUUGUACGGAUAAUCAUAAAUUUAUAAUCAUAAUUAUAAUCUAUUUAACUUCUAAAGUGAAUUAACAUAUAUAACUUUAAUCAAGUAAGCAUGAAAAAAGUGUAUCAUUUAAGUUUGGGUCUUGUUUACGAAUAUUCUAAGAGUUUUUUUAUCGUUAAUUAAAAUAUUAUAAUAAUAUUUUUCUUUUAAAUGUCGUAAUUGACUGGUAGUGCGAUGAUUUUCAAUAUAUCUAAAAUGAUAUUACUCAAUAUAAUAACUUUAAAUAAUAUCAUUAUAACAAUAGUUAGUAAAAGUCAUAAUAUUCAAAAAAGCUUUUAAAUUAUUCAAAAAAUUUAAAAUAAAUCUUACUUUUAUUAUAUUCAAUUAUAUUUUUAUAUUUUUAUUUUAGAUCAAAUAAAUCUUUUAUUUUUAUUUUGAAUCAAAUAAAUCUUUAUAAAUAAUAAUUGACUUAGUUAAAAUGUUAUUUGUCAUUAUAUAUUACGUGACGCUGAUGUAGUAUACUAACAUAUCAUAAUUAAUGAUGAUGUGAUAUGUUGAUUUAUCAUAUUUGAUAAUGAUAUGACAUGCUAGUUUAACCUAAUAACAUGAUGACAUUUUUCAAUCUCUACAUUAAUAUCAUAUUAGUGCCACGUGGAUAUAAAAUGAUAAAAUAUAUUUUGACUAAUGAAAAUUAGUCAAUUAUUAUUAAUAAAAGCUUAUUUGAUCUAAAAUAAAAAUAUAGAGACUUGAUUAAGCGUAACAAAAGAAUAAAAAUUUAUUCGAAUUUUGUUAAAUAGUUUCAGAGCUUAUUUGAGAAAUAUGUGUUAGUAAAACCAUUUAUAUUUAAAUUUUUAUUUUAUUUUUUGAAAAGUAAUUUGUCAUAAACGGAAUAAUGACAUGGCUAUAGAUUAAGCUAGGCUAUAAACUUAUUUCAGCCUUAAAUGAUUAACAAUGAAUAAGGUGCGUCCCCUCUCAAGAAACCCCUAUACAAUAGUUAGGAUAAACCCUUAAAGGAUGGACCUCAGGACCGGGGGCAGCUCAAGUACCUCUUGUGACGACAUGAUAUUCAUUGAAGACUAUUUGGACUUCAAGCGUGUUCAUCCAUUGACAUUGGCAAUUAGUUUCUGCUGGCAUGAACCGUAUGGCGACCACUUGUAUGAUUGUGAUAUAUCAUGCUGUUGAGUGCGAGCUCAACUUUGUUGAAGUACAUUGGUGUCCUUGGUUUUGUUGAAUUCUGACAAUAGACAUCCCAUACCCAAUUCAUAGCAUACAUAUGGCUUUUAUCUUUGUUUAAAUUGAAUUAAGAACAUCCGGAUUCAUUUCAUACUCAUAAGAUCUUAAGAUGAUCAAGAUUUGCACUUAACGGAAGCAAAACUGGCCUGAACUCAAUAUUCAGACAAAAGUAUGGUUCUAGACUCUUUGGUCAGUGAAAGCAACCAUCCAUCAUAUCGAUUCCUUUCGUCCUUUUUGCUUGGUGACAUCAUCCGAUUUACUCAUGUGCAAGGAAAGAUACAAGUAUAUUAACAGUGUGCAUUUGCCUAGUAUAAAGAACUGAGCCACCAGAUGAAACCCUUGGUCAAAUAAGCUAGAAAGACCAAAGUUAAGUCUGACAUCUGUGAAGUGCGCGGACAUGAAGGCCCCCAUCUACAUGAAGAUUGAUCAUCGUCCUGUAGGUGACACAUUUAUUCUCAUCACUCAGUUUGAACGCAAAGCAGUGCACCAGAACAGCUGAGAAGAUCUUCAUCUGCCUAUAAGCAAAUUCCUUGCCUAAACAAAUUCGAGGCCCUGCCUGUAAACCAUUAGAAAAUAAAGUUCAGUAUCUUCACAUCUUUAGCCGGUAAAAUCACACUUGUGAAACAAUAUGAGAGGUUUGAACUUUCAGAAAAAGACUCAGAACCAGAAUCAAAUGCUGUUAUGCUGCUUUUUUACCAUUUUUUUUCUAUUUGAGGUCUUUUUUUACACCAAGUGCCAAUCAGAAUAAAAAUGCUUUGCCCGAUCUGCAAAAGAAGCAUACAACAAUUUCUAAUUUGCAACAUGUUCUGCAUACCUGGAAUGCUGUAAACUUAAAAGGGCUUUCUGGUUGGAACAUCCCCUCCUCAUCAAGGCAUCUCUCUGGUCUGAACUCCUCUGCAUCAUCACCCCAAAUGAAUUUCAUUCUGCCCAUUGCAUAAGGUUCAUAACAAACCAUAUCUCCUUUCCUCACACUGAACCCAUCUGGAAGAGUUUCAUCAGACAAGCAUAUCUUUGCAUCCUGCAAUCAAAGUGAAGAGGUAGUGAGAACCAAAGAAAACCCCAGAACAUAGCAAGGAAGCUAAUUUCUAGCCUUCCCGAUAUGCAUUGAAUGGAUAUCAGUUUAUCGAUGCAUGUUCUUUGAUGUGCAUUAACAAGUUCAGUUGGAGGAUUCAAGAUUCAAGGCAACUUUGCUUACAACUGGAACAGCGGGGUAGAGCCUUAAUGUUUCAGUUAAGGCUGCAUGGAGAUAGUGCAUUUUUCCUAGGGCUUCUUCGCUCAAGAUAGCAGCAAAUUCAGCAAAAUCUUUAACCUCCUUCGUGUCAGUUGCUUCCUUCACUUCUUGUGCAACCUUUUCUUGAACAUCAGGAUGCUUGCAGAGCAUGUAAAUAAACCACGACAGAGUAGCUGUCGUUGUGUCUUUCCCAGCAAUUAUGAAGUUAAGGAUUAUAUCUCGCAAGUAUGUUGGAUCAGUGUCACUCACUUGUAGAAAUCUGGAUAAAAUGUCUUCCUUUUUCAUCUGCAUAAUCUGUAGAAAAUAAUAAUUUCAAUAUUCUACUUCAACAGGUAAUAUAAGCUGUUAACUAUAAGUAGCUCUACUGUUCUAGUUCACUCACUGAAGCUUCAUCCUUUGAGUUGCGUAUUGGCUCAAUCUUGUUGUGGAUCAGCUUAUACACAAAAUUAUCAACCACUUCUAUACUUUUCUUCAGUGUGGCCUCUGAUCCAAUAUUUAGAAAUCUUUUGAUCUUCUAGAAGAUAUCAACAUAUCGGAAGAGGAUUGCUGCACUUGAAUCAUCAAAAGCAGCUGUAAACUGUUUGCCUUCUAAAUUUGAUCCACACAUGCUGUCUAGUUCGACUCCAAAUGCAACUUUGAAUAGUGAAUCUAAAGUCGAUUUCAUAAACAAGUCCUGCACAAUAUAUCGUUAUAACAGAUCCAUUUUAUAUAUCACUCUGCAUUGAUCUUGCCAUUAGGUGAACUUACCUGUAUAUCCAUUAUCUCAUUGGAAUUUGCUGCUUCAGACACUAUAGUUGCAAGUUUUGCCGCAUUUUCCCGAAAGACUACACUGCUGAAAUCUCUCAAGACCUUGGUUGAGAAUUCAUAGCUUGAUACUUUCCUCUGUUGACGCCACUUAUCACCAUCGACAGUGAAAAUCCCAUCACCUAGUAAACCCUUUAGCAAGCUGUAAUUGUACUCACCCUGCACAGAAAAUUAAACAGUUUGGAAAACCAAAACAACUCCACCAUUCUGCCUUUUGGGUGGCCAUAUAAUUAUCAAAAGCCCUCUCAUUCCAACUAAUCACUCUGCGGCAUAUUAGCAUCUACAAUUGACUUACUUGUGGCGAGAUUGAGACCCUUUUUCUUAAUCUAAUUACGGGUGUUUCUGUCUAAGCUACUUACACUAACCAAUCACCGGGAGAGUUCAGAAUUUUCUAGACCAACAAAUUAUUUGUGACUUUGAGGUGUGAAACGAGAGUCGGCACCAUACCUUGCCAUAUUUCUGGAAAUUUGUUUUUAGAAUAUACUCAACAUUGUCUGGUUCCGAGGUAUAAAUCUCAUUCCUGAAAGGGCUAAGCAGCCUGUAGUUCCUGUACUUCCCAGCAAGAUCAGUCAUAUAGUGAUGCAAUCUUCUGAAGUUGAGGAGCUGGUUAAAAACCGUUCCGCCAACGGGAUGGUACUUGGCCUUAUUUUUCCUCUGCCUUUCUCUUAGUUUUGCUGUGAGGAACUGGACGGUGAAAAGGGUCAGGAUUAGACUUAGAACCAAAGCUACCAAGGGAACUGGGUUAGACAGAUCCAUGAAGAUGGAGGUACGUUUGGGAAAGCUGGUCUAUCAAUGUUAGGUGAAGGCUGUAUUAAACUAGAGAAGUCGUUCUGAAAUACUAAUAAUAUCAACGGAGAGAAGUCCUUCUGCCAAGUUAUUCCUCUCAACCAAACGUGUCACAACCUAAUUGGACUACAUUCGGACAAGCCCGAAACGUGGUUCUCUCGAAUUUCACAAGGUGAAAUUUUUGAAAUUGGCAAAAAAUUACUAAUAAAUUUCACCACAACCAGAUAACAAAACAAAGGGUCAUACUUAUUUUUUCCUUAGUUAUGAUGGUAAAGGACAUACAUAUCUGUUCUAUUCGGUUAUUUUGUAGUUAAGUAAAGAGAAUGAUUUUUUAAUUUAAUUUUUAAAUAAAAAUACGUGUAUUUAUCAUGUUAAGUUUAAUAUUCAGAUGAAAAAUUAAUUAGAAUUUUAUUUCAAAGCAUAUGAUACAAUUAAGUAACUUAAGUACAAAGAUGAUUAAGCUUAGCAAACAAGGAAAUGUCAUAUUUCUCAAUCCGAGAGAUAAGAAGCACAGAGCCAAAGGCCCUGCAAAAAGGCAGGGGAGAACUGAAUUGUUGUUUCCUAAAACUUUGCAUUAAGAUCAACAUGACUUUCUAGUCAUUAAAUAUUCUGCUAGAUUUCGAACUUGCAAAUAUGGUCUGUUUUAAUGAAAUUGCAGAAUGUUGUCUCAGGUCUCAACAACUUUGAUUUCACUUCUUUUUCAAGGAAAAAAAAAUGGUUUCACUUAGUUUGCAGAAGUGUCCUGAACUCAAUUUUCAGACAAAAGUAUGGUUCGAGACUCCUUGGUGAGUGAAAGUAAUUCUUCAUCAUAUUUAUUCCUUUAUUUUUCUUUUUGGAUAUCAUUGUAUUUAUUCUUGUGCAAGGACAAGUACAUGCAUACUCAAACCUUGCAAUUGCCCAGCAUACAGAACUGAGCCAACAGAUGAAACCCGUGGUCAAAUAGGCAAGAAAGACUAAGUCUGACAUCUGGGAAAUGCGCGGACAUGAAGGCCCCCAUCUACGUGAAGAGUGAUCAUCGUCCUGUAGGUGACAGAUUUAUUCUCAUCACUCAGUUUGAACACAAAGUAGUGCACCAGAACAGCCGAGAAGAUCUUCAUCUGCCUAUAAGCAAAUUCCUUGCCGAAACAAAUUCGAGGGCCUGCCUGUAAACCAUUAGAAAAUAAAGUUCAGCAUGUUCACAUCUUUAGCCGGUGAAAUCACACUUGUGAAACAAUAUGAGAAGUUUGAACUUUCGGAAAAAGACCCAGAACCAAAAAUCAAAUGCUGUUAUACUGCUUUUUUAGCCUCUUUUUCUAUUUGAGGUUUUAUUUUACACCAAGUGCCAAUCAGAAUAAUAAUGCUUUGGCCGAUCUGGAAACGAAGCGUACAAGAACUUCUAAUUUGUAGUAUGUUCUGCACACCUGGAAUGCUGUAAACUUAAAAUGGCUUUCUGGUUGGAACAUCCCAUCCUCAUCAAGCCAUCUCUCUGGUCUGAACUCCUCUGCAUCAUCACCCCAUAUGAAUUUCAUUCUGCCCAUUGCAUAAGGUUGAUAACAAACCAUAUCUCCUUUCCUCACACUGAACCCAUCUGGAAGAGUAUCAUCAGAAAAGCAUAUCUUUGCAUCCUGCAAUCAAAGUGAAGAGGUAG